GAUGAACGCUGGCGGCGUGCCUAAUACAUGCAAGUCGAGCGAACAGACGAGGAGCUUGCUCCUCUGACGUUAGCGGCGGACGGGUGAGUAACACGUGGAUAACCUACCUAUAUGACUGGGAUAACUUCGGGAAACCGGAGCUAAUACCGGAUAACAUGAUGAACCGCAUGGUUCAACAGUGAAAGACGGUCUUGCUGUCACUUAUAGAUGGAUCCGCGCCGCAUUAGCUAGUUGGUAAGGUAACGGCUUACCAAGGCAACGAUGCGUAGCCGACCUGAGAGGGUGAUCGGCCACACUGGAACUGAGACACGGUCCAGACUCCUACGGGAGGCAGCAGUGGGGAAUCUUCCGCAAUGGGCGAAAGCCUGACGGAGCCACGCCGCGUGAGUGAAGAAGGUCUUCGGAUCGUAAAGCUCUUUUAUUGGGGAAGAACAAAUGUGUAAGUAACUAUGGACGUCUUGACGGUACCUAAUCAGAAAGCCCCGGCUAACUACGUG
This 497-nucleotide ribosomal RNA is filed under the name uncultured bacterium. RNAcentral's name for it is "partial 16S ribosomal RNA". It matches the Rfam family "Bacterial small subunit ribosomal RNA", at positions 28 to 507 of the family's 1533-position model. The record is from RNAcentral.